GCUGGGCAUAGUGGCGCAUGCCUGCAAUCCCAGUGGUUUGGGAGGCUGAGGCAAGAGGAUCGAGAUUUCAAAGCCAGCCUUAGCAAAAGUGAGGUGCUAAGCAACCCAGUGAGACCCUGUCUCUA
Molecule: small RNA, 125 nt
Filed under: Marmota monax (woodchuck)
Lineage: Eukaryota; Metazoa; Chordata; Mammalia; Rodentia; Sciuridae
Source: RNAcentral